UUUAAAGAAAAGUUAUCUUAACCAUUGAGAAGCCUUCCUUCCUCAGAGGAGAGCACCUCCCCAGCAGACCUCCGAGGAGACCAAGGGCAGGACAGGAAGGGUGAAAGGAAGUUUCAGGACUGCAGGAAAUAAGAGCUUGGAGGUCAAGGGAGAGAUCAGAUAAAACAUGAAUCUGAUCAGCAUCCUAGUGGUCUAGAGUGGAGACAAUCUGCGGAGUCAACCUCAGUAAGGACACACAUAGAGAAGAACCAAAGCCUCUAAAGACGAAGCUGAGAAGUGUACGGUCGUAGAAGACUCGUGUCUGUUAUUCUUAAAAGCUCAAGGAGAUGUUCUGCCAAUUGAAUGGAAACUGUCCAUAGUGGGGAGCAGAGAGCCUCAUCUUUUCUGGAACUGAACAUCCAUCCUUAAGGCCAGAUUUCUCCCAUCACCAACUUUAACUCCUGCCCUAGCCCUCUCUCUUCCUUUUCAAAACCCUCUCCACCCAGGAAGGGAGAUUCUGGAGCCAAGACUGUACCAGCCACACCUCCCCAGAGUUGUUAAGGAAGGAACUCGAAGCCAGGGGUGGUCUUCUGGCAAGCACCCCCACUACCAGUAGCAGGACAGAUGUGUUUCUAAUGGACUACACUAUCCCCGGAGGUCACAUGAUUCAGGCUGCCAAGGGUACCUGCCCUUGGGAAAUCAACUCCCGAAGAUAAAUUGGGAUUGGGUCCUGAGAAGAUCCAUGGAAGCCCAGAGGACCCUGCCUCUCUCUGUUGCUUCAUGCUGUAGAGGCAGUACUGGGGAGGGCCUGCCCCACAUCCGGCAGGGCAGCUGGAACCAUGUGUUUGAUGACACUCUGCUCCCUCAAUGUGGAGCCUCAUCCUCAUCUCACAGUCUAGCAGGCCUCUGGUGGGUUAGGCUUGUCUCACCCAGUGUGUGAGUUUUUUUGGAAGUGACCUGAUUUUGGAGUUUCCCUCCAAGCCUUUCUCAGGUACAUGCUUUCUCUUUUAUUCUGUCUUCUUUUUUUGAUCUUCUUAAAUCUGAUUUUCUCCUUUUUCCCUCUCUUGUCUCCAUCUUUUUUCCAGUCUCUCGCUUCUCUUUAUUUCUCCCCAUAUUUCACUCUGUUCUCUCACCCCAACCUUUCCCUUCUGUUUCUCUCCCUCCCUCUCUUCCCACCCCCUGCCUGGCCUUCCAUAUAUCAAGCAGAGUUUUAUCACCUUAUGCAGGGGCAGCCCUGCCACCUGCCAUAAAGUUGAUAGGCUAAUGACAUUUUGUGGAUAUUGCCAUGUCACAAGUCCAGGACAGCAUCAAAAAUAGCCCUGAUGUCUAAACCACUUCAGCUAUCUUUUUUAUUUUUAAAAUAAAUACAUUCACAUGCUUUUAAGAAACUAUAAAAAUAUAUAAAGUAAAAAGAUCUUUCUCUCACACUGUCUCCACCUCUCCUGGUCUCACCGUUGUGCUUAGGGGAAACCAUUGUGAUUAGUUUCUCCUGUGUCCUUCCAGAGUGUCUUUAUGCAAAUGAAAAUUAUUGUGAUAAUAUAUUCCUAUUUUCCCCCUUACUACACAAAAGAUAGACUACCAUAAUCCCAUUCUGCACUUUUUUUUCACUUGAUAAUAAAAACAUGAUUUUAUUAA
This 1614-nucleotide long non-coding RNA is filed under the name Homo sapiens (human). Its description in RNAcentral is "HSALNT0390462". The record is from RNAcentral. Lineage: Eukaryota; Metazoa; Chordata; Mammalia; Primates; Hominidae.